Molecule: ribosomal RNA, 467 nt
Filed under: uncultured bacterium
Lineage: Bacteria
Description: partial 16S ribosomal RNA
Rfam family: Bacterial small subunit ribosomal RNA
Source: RNAcentral
GACGAACGCUGGCGGCGGGCUUAACACAUGCAAGUCGAACGGAAAGGCCCUGCUUUUGUGGGGUGCUCGAGUGGCGAACGGGUGAGUAACACGUGAGUAACCUGCCCUUGACUUUGGGAUAACUUCAGGAAACUGGGGCUAAUACCGGAUAGGAGCCCCUGCUGCAUGGUGGGGGUGGGAAAGUUUCGGCGGUUGGGGAUGGAUUCGCGGCUUACCAGCUUGUUGGUGGGGUGGUGGCUUACCAAGGCUUUGACGGGUAGCCGGCCUGAGAGGGUGACCGGCCACAGUGGGCCUGGGGUAGGGCCCAGAGUGAAACGUGAGGCAGGAGUGGAGAAUAUUGCAAACUGGGCGGCAGCCUGAUAGAGGAACGCCGCGUGCGAGAUGACGGCCUUCGGGUUGGAAACGGAUUACGCUUGUGACGAAGCGUGAGGGACGGUAAUAGAUAAAGAGGCACCGCUUACCUACGU